UUUUUGUUUAUAAUUUAAAGUUUAAUCUGCCCACUGAUAAUAAUUAAAGGGCUGCAGUAUAUUGACUGUACAAAGGUAGCAUAAUCAUUAGUCUUUUAAUUGAAGACUUGUAUGAAAGAUUUGAUGAGAUAUAAACUGUCUCUUAUUUAAAAUUAGAAAUUAAUUUUUUAAUAAAAAAGUUAAAAUAAAUUUAAAAGACGAGAAGACCCUAUAGAGUUUUAUAAUUAUUUUAAUUGAUUAUUUUUAUAAAUUUUAAUUAAAAAUUAAUAUUAAUUAUUUAAUUGGGGUGAUUGAAAAAUUAAAUAAACUUUUUAUAUAAUUAAACAUAAAUUAAUGAAUAAAUGAUCCAUAAUUUAUGAUUAAAAGAAAAAAUUACCUUAGGGAUAACAGCGUAAUUUUUUUUUUUAGUUCAAAUAAAAAAAAGAGUUUGCGACCUCGAUGUUGGAUUAAGAUAAAAUUUAAAUGUAGAAGUUUAAAAUUUUUGAUCUGUUCGAUCAUUAAAAUCUUACAUGAUCUGAGCUUCAAACC
This 528-nucleotide ribosomal RNA is filed under the name Taractrocera ceramas. RNAcentral describes it as "partial 16S ribosomal RNA". The stretch from base 383 to 528 matches the Rfam family "Archaeal large subunit ribosomal RNA", at positions 2542 to 2686 of the family's 2987-position model. Lineage: Eukaryota; Metazoa; Arthropoda; Insecta; Lepidoptera; Hesperiidae. The record is from RNAcentral.